AAGUCAAGCGGAGUAGCAAUACUUAGCGGCGAACGGGUGAGUAACACGUGGGUAAUCUUCCUCCGAAUCUGGGAUAACUUUCCGAAAGGAAAGCUAAUACCGGAUAGUUCUAUUGGAUCACAGGAUUUGAUAGAUAAAGGUUUACUGUUCGGAGAUGAGCCCGCGGCCGAUUAGCUAGUUGGUGAGGUAAUGGCUCACCAAGGCGACGAUCGGUAGCCGGCCUGAGAGGGUGUCCGGCCACAAUGGAACUGAGACACGGUCCAUACUCCUACGGGAGGCAGCAGGUUAAGAA
This 292-nucleotide ribosomal RNA is filed under the name Leptospira wolffii. RNAcentral describes it as "partial 16S ribosomal RNA". It matches the Rfam family "Bacterial small subunit ribosomal RNA", at positions 59 to 354 of the family's 1533-position model. The record is from RNAcentral. Lineage: Bacteria; Pseudomonadati; Spirochaetota; Leptospiria; Leptospirales; Leptospiraceae.